Molecule: ribosomal RNA, 484 nt
Filed under: uncultured bacterium
Lineage: Bacteria
Description: partial 16S ribosomal RNA
Rfam family: Bacterial small subunit ribosomal RNA
Source: RNAcentral
AUUGAACGCUGGCGGCAGGCCUAACACAUGCAAGUCGAGCGGAUGAAGGGAGCUUGCUCCUGGAUUCAGCGGCGGACGGGUGAGUAAUGCCUAGGAAUCUGCCUGGUAGUGGGGGAUAACGUCCGGAAACGGGCGCUAAUACCGCAUACGUCCUGCGGGAGAAAGUUGGGGAUCUUCGGACCUCACGCUAUCAGAUGAGCCUAGGUCGGAUUAGCUAGUUGGUGGGGUAAAGGCCUACCAAGGCGACGAUCCGUAACUGGUCUGAGAGGAUGAUCAGUCACACUGGAACUGAGACACGGUCCAGACUCCUAAGGGAGGCAGCAGUGGGGAAUAUUGGACAAUGGGCGAAAGCCUGAUCCAGCCAUGCCGCGUGUGUGAAGAAGGUCUUCGGAUUGUAAAGCACUUUAAGUUGGGAGGAAGGGCAGUAAGUUAAUACCUUGCUGUUUUGACGUUACCAACAGAAUAAGCACCGGCUAACUUCGUG